CCCACUCCCAGUUAGCACAUUAUUUGCGUGUUCACGCAACCUAUCAUUUACGCAACUUCCCGUUUGGCCGAUAUGCUUUUUGCCGCACAACAGGGCCAGUUCAUACACGAUAUUGUUCUCACAAAGAACGUAGCCUUCCUUGUGAUUUGUCCAGCAACUGGGCUUCUCAGAACCACAGUAGCUGGCCUUGCACAAGUUGGACAGCUUGACUGGCGCUGAAAAGGUGCCACCACUCACUCUCUUCGGUUCUUCCUACAAUGGCCAGGCGCGAAAUGACCUCGGCAUUAUCCUCACCUUCGAGAACAGCAAGCAUGCCAGGGUGAGCUGCCGUUUAGCUCAGCUGGCAUGAGACCGGUGAAGCAGCAUGAAGUACGCAGACAAAGGAAAUAAUAAAAAUGUCGCCAUGGUUU
Long non-coding RNA from Dermacentor albipictus, 410 nucleotides. RefSeq lists it as uncharacterized. Lineage: Eukaryota; Metazoa; Arthropoda; Arachnida; Ixodida; Ixodidae. The record is from RefSeq and is a predicted model, not a curated record.